GACGGGGGAUGCAAGCGUUAUCCGGAAUCACUGGGCGUAAAGCGUCUGUAGGUGGUGAUGCAAGUCACUGGUGCAAAACUCUGGCUCAACCGGAGGAAAGCCAGUGAACCUGCAUGACUAGAGUGUGGGAGAGGUAGAAGGAAUUCCCUGAGUAGCGGUGAAAUGCGUAGAUACAGGGAAGAACACCGGAGGCGAAAGCGUUCUACUGGAACACAACUGACACUGAGAGACGAAAGCUAGGGGAGCGAACAGG
RNAcentral lists this ribosomal RNA (253 nucleotides) under uncultured bacterium. RNAcentral describes it as "partial 16S ribosomal RNA". It matches the Rfam family "Bacterial small subunit ribosomal RNA", at positions 524 to 776 of the family's 1533-position model. The record is from RNAcentral.